Molecule: ribosomal RNA, 165 nt
Filed under: uncultured bacterium
Lineage: Bacteria
Description: partial 16S rRNA
Rfam family: Bacterial small subunit ribosomal RNA
Source: RNAcentral
UAGGGAAUCUUCGGCAAUGGGGGCAACCCUGACCGAGCAACGCCGCGNGAGUGAAGAAGGUUUUCGGAUCGUAAAGCUCUGUUGUAAGAGAAGAACGUGUGUGAGAGUGGAAAGUUCACACAGUGACGGUAACUUACCAGAAAGGGACGGCUAACUACGUGCCAG